Molecule: ribosomal RNA, 675 nt
Filed under: Triticum aestivum (bread wheat)
Lineage: Eukaryota; Viridiplantae; Streptophyta; Magnoliopsida; Poales; Poaceae
Description: partial small subunit ribosomal RNA
Source: RNAcentral
AUGGUGGAACCAGUGAAGCUCAUCGGAGGCUUUGGCAGCCCGUUCGUCCACCGAGCCGAGGUCGCCUUGCGUCUCAAAGGAGUGCCCUACGAGCUCAUCCUAGAGGACAUGACUAACAAGAGCGAGCUGUUGCUGAAGCACAAUCCCGUCCACAAGAAGGUCCAUGUGCUCCUCCACGGGGACAAGGCUGUCUGCGAGUCUCUCCUCAUUGUCGAGUACGUCGACGAGGCCUUUGACGGGCCACCCAUCCUGUCGACUGACCCUCAUGAAAGGUCUGAGGCCCGCUUCUGGUCCAAAUUCUUUGUGGGAAAGUUGGCAUUGUGGACGGAGGAGGGCGAGGAUCAGAAGGUCUUUGUUAUGGACGCAAAAGAGAAUCUCGCCCUAGUGGAGGCGCAGCUGAGCCAGAAGAGGUUCUUCGGAGGCGCCACAAUUGGCCUCGCUGACAUCGCUGGUGUCAGCCUACUAUCCCGCUGGGCAAGCGUGAUGCAAGGGGUCGCUGGGGUGAGCGUGAUGACAGACGAUGAGUAUGCUGCUAUCCACCGGUGGAUGGAGGACUACAACGCUGACGAAGCUUUAAGGAGUGCUUGCCGGACAGAGACCAUCUCAUCUCCUACUUCACCACGAUCAGGGGAAAGUGCGUCUCCGCGGCCAAGUCCAUGCUACCCAAUUAUCUAG